CUAAUGAGCUGACCGAACUCCGUGCUGGCGUCAACGAGCUAACUGCUACCGUGAAACUCCUCUCUAAAAAAUGUGAUGAUCUGGACGGCCGCUUGAGGAGGUGCGGAAGUUUGACGGCAAGGCUAUGUUGGAUUGUGCUCACCGGAUCCUGCACGCGAGGCCUAAAGAUGGCGAACCUCCUCGGCCGCUCGUUGGACGAGUGAAUUUAUUUCUAGUCCGGAAUCAGAUUCUACGAAGGGCGGGUGAGGUAUAUUUUCCCCACUGGACCCGUGGGGAAAACCAAGACACCCAGAUUCGGACAUUCCCAGCAGGAGCAGGGUGGCGAGCCAAGCAGAACCAUCCUGCCGCAUGGAAAAAGGACUUCCUACUUCCCUCAUCCAUGGACAGCAUGGUAGGACAGACACACAAAAAAAGACCACCGAUCA
Nerophis lumbriciformis (worm pipefish) is the source of this 425-nucleotide long non-coding RNA. RefSeq lists it as uncharacterized. The record is from RefSeq and is a predicted model, not a curated record. Lineage: Eukaryota; Metazoa; Chordata; Actinopteri; Syngnathiformes; Syngnathidae.